This 119-nucleotide ribosomal RNA is filed under the name Helianthus annuus (common sunflower). The record is from RNAcentral. Lineage: Eukaryota; Viridiplantae; Streptophyta; Magnoliopsida; Asterales; Asteraceae.
UGUUGCGAUCAUACCAGCACUAAUGCACCGGAUCCCAUCAGGACUCCGCAGUUAAGCGUGCUUGGGCGAGAGUAGUACUAGGAUGGGUGACCCCCUGGGAAGUCCUCGUGUUGCAACCC